This 1051-nucleotide long non-coding RNA is filed under the name Canis lupus familiaris (dog). RNAcentral describes it as "lncRNA (ENSCAFG00030007304.1)". The record is from RNAcentral. Lineage: Eukaryota; Metazoa; Chordata; Mammalia; Carnivora; Canidae.
GUGCUGCAUUUGAAAAUCAGUCUCUCGGUUACCUGUCAAGUCCAGAGCUUCAGGAGUUUGAGGUAUACCCUGGAAUAGCAGCUGACAAGCUAUUGAAAUGAAAAUUCUGAAUAAAAUUAGGGCAGCCCAUUAGCCCAAAUGCGGGAACAUGGUAAGAGAUUUCAUGGAUUUGUGAGUUUGUGAUUUUUUUCUUGUCAUUGAUAUUCUUACUUUGAAAAGUAUAGAAAGUAAUUUUUGCAUUUUUUGGGGUAGGGAGGGAAUAAAAACCCAAACUGAGAUCUGAGGUUUUUAUAGUUUGGCAAAUUUCAAAGAUAUGAAAGCAGAAUUUUUGGCACUUGGGGAUUGAGAGGCAAAUGACAUCAUAUGGCUUAAGGGAAAUAGAGAGCUAAAAACGUACAUUUGGAAAAUUUCAGAAGCUGGCUGCCGCUGAAAUAAUUUUGAAUUUUUUUCCAGUAAAUUUAGUUGUCACAAAAGGCACUAGAUUGACAGCCCCGCAGAGGAAAGCGUGCGGGUCCGGGAGAUGCAAUGUCAGCUCCUGCCUGAGGAGCGCCAGGGCUGGAGGGCCUGUGGUUGCCUUGUCGGAGCUGGCCUUUCCGGGGCCACUCCCUGCGCUGGUGACACUUUGGGGGUCAUGAAUUAAGGGUGAAGAGAUCCAGUCCUGGAUGGGGAUCCAUACUCAGUGCAGAGUUUGCUUAAGGCUCUCUCUUUUUAAAAUAUGUAAGUAAAAUCUUUAAAAUAAAAUAAAGUGGUAAUUUUUUAUUGCAGUAAAAUAUGCAUUACAUACAAUUUAUCAUUUUAAGCAUUUUUACGUCUACAUUUCAGUGAUGUGUAGAACAUUCAUGCGGUUGUGCAACAAACAACCUUCCCAGAACUUUUUCAUCUUCCCAAACUGAAAUUUUGUCCCCAUUAAACACCCCCUUCUUCCUUUCCUCCCAGCCCUUGGCAAGCACCCUUAUAUUUUCUUUCUUUAUGAAUUUGUACCUUGGUACUUAGAGUAUUUGUGUAUUUGUCCUUUGUGACUGGCUUGUUUUACUGAAUGUCAAUGUCUUCA